AUUGAACGCUGGCGGCAGGCCUAACACAUGCAAGUCGAGCGAGCGGCGGACGGGUGAGUAAUGUAUGGGGACUGCCCGAUAGAGGGGGAUAACUACUGGAAACGGUAGCUAAUACCGCAUACUAUCGGAUAACCCAUAUGGGAUUAGCUAGUUGGUGAGGUAAUGGCUCACCAAGGCAAGGAUCCCUAGCUGGUCUGAGAGGAUGAUCAGCAAAACUGGGACUGAGAAACGUCCCUGAUCCCUACGGAGGCAGCGGUGGGAAAUAUUGCACAAGGGGCGCAAGCCUGAGGCAGCCAUGCAGAGUGUAUGAAGAAGGCCCUAGGGUUGUAAAGUACUUUCAGUCGGGAGGCGUGACCGACAGAAGAAGCACCGGCUAACUCCGUGCCAGCAGCCGCGGUAAUUC
This 403-nucleotide ribosomal RNA is filed under the name uncultured bacterium. RNAcentral's name for it is "partial 16S ribosomal RNA". It matches the Rfam family "Bacterial small subunit ribosomal RNA", at positions 30 to 526 of the family's 1533-position model. The record is from RNAcentral.